Molecule: long non-coding RNA, 1098 nt
Organism: Glycine soja
Lineage: Eukaryota; Viridiplantae; Streptophyta; Magnoliopsida; Fabales; Fabaceae
Exons: 2
Source: RefSeq, a predicted model, not a curated record
CCCAAUUAUCUCCAUAAUUCUCUCUCCACCGUUUCUCAUUCCCAUUCUCUCUUUCAUUCUCUCUUUUUUUUCCUACCACCGUUCUCUCUAUUUCACUCUCCCCACCCUUUCUCAUUCUCAUUCUUUUUUUUUUCCUACCACCGUUCGAAGACGAUGCCUUGGUGCUGUUGUUCUCCAAAUGUCGGACGGAAAUGAGGGAAAUGCCGGACGAAAAACUCAAAGGUUAUGCUUCAUUUUUCCUCUCCAUGUGCUUCUUUUCAAUUUUUUUCACAGCAUGUUCAUUGUUUCUUCUAAAGCUACCUUUUUUUUUCCUACCACCGUUCGAAGACGAUGCCUUGGUGUUGUUGUUCUCCAAAUGCCGGACGGAAAUGACGGAGAUGCCGAACGAAAAAAUCAAAGGUUAUGCUUCAUUUUCCCUCUCUAUGUACUUUUUUUCGAUUUUUUUCACAGCAUGUUCAUUGUUUCUUCUAAAGCUAUCAUUUUUAUCUCAAAAAGCUUCGAUUUUUAUCUCCAAACUCCAUGAAUGUGCUUCAUUUUCCCUCUCCAUGUGCUUUUUUUUUAUUUUUUUUACAACAUGUUCGUUGUUUCUUCUAAAGCUACCAUUUUUAUCUCAAAAAACUUCGAUUUUUCUUUUCAAACUCCAUGAAUGUGCUUCGAUUUCCCUCUCCAUGUGCUUUUUAUUUUUUUAUUUUUUUCACAGCAUGUUCAUUGUUUCUUCUAAAUCUACCUUUUUUUUCCUACCACCGUUCGAAGACGAUACCUUGGUGCUGUUGUUCUCCAAAUGCCGGACCGAAAUGAUGGAGAUGUCAAACGAAAAACUCAAAGGCUGAAGAUUGACCAGUAAUUCAAUUAGGCCAAGAAAAGCUACUUCAAUGGGAUCACUCAAUAGUUCAUCACAAAAUACUUUUUACCUGUUUAGUGAAUUUGUAAAAUAGGACAUCUGUGUUGUAAUUCUAAUUUCAAGUUUGUUUUUAAUAAGCAUCUGAAUCUUUUGUAUAUAAAUUGUUCAGAUCACUCAUAAAAAUAUUCACAGCCUAGAUCUUGUGUUGUAAUUACAACAACCAGUUUUACCAAUGAAUAUUUACUUUUUAUUUUCUA